CCUACGGGUGGCAGCAGUGGGGGAUAUUGCACAAUGGGGGGAACCCUGAUGCAGCGACGCCGCGUGGGUGAAGGAGUGCUUCGGCAUGUAAAGCCCUAUCGGCAGGGAAGAAGCAAGACGGUACCUGACUAAGAAGCUCCGGCUAACUACGUGCCAGCAGCCGCGGUAAUACGUAGGGGGCGAGCGUUAUCCGGAUUCACUGGGUGGAAAGGGAGCGUAGACGGCCAUGCAAGCCAGGGGUGAAAGCCCGGGGCCCAACCCCGGGACUGCCCUUGGAACUGCAUGGCUGGAGUGCGGGAGGGGCAGGCGGAAUUCCUGGGGUAGCGGUGAAAUGCGUAGAUAUCAGGAGGAACACCGGCGGCGAAGGCGGCCUGCUGGAACAUAACUGACGCUGAUGCGCGAAAGCGUGGGGAGCAAACAGGAGUAGAUACCCGGGUAGUC
RNAcentral lists this ribosomal RNA (441 nucleotides) under uncultured bacterium. RNAcentral's name for it is "partial 16S ribosomal RNA". It matches the Rfam family "Bacterial small subunit ribosomal RNA", at positions 338 to 795 of the family's 1533-position model. The record is from RNAcentral.